AAUAGAUACCCCGGUAGUCCACGCUGUAAACGAUGUCAACUAGCUGUUGGCUAUAUGAAUAUAGUUAGUGGCGCAGCAAACGCGAUAAGUUGACCGCCUGGGGAGUACGGUCGCAAGAUUAAAACCCAAAGGAAUUGACGGGGGCCCGCACAAGCGGUGGAGCAUGUGGUUUAAUUCGAUGCAACGCGAAGAACCUUACCUACCCUUGACAUACAGUGGAGCUUGCAGAGAUGUGAGUGUGCCUUCGGGAACACUGAUACAGGUGCUGCAUGGCUGUCGUCAGCUCGUGUCGUGAGAUGUUGGGUUAAGUCCCGUAACGAGCGCAACCCUUAUCCUUAGUUGCCAGCACGUAAAGGUGGGAACUCUAAGGAGACUGCCGGUGACAAACCGGAGGAAGGCGGGGACGACGUCAAGUCAUCAUGGCCCUUACGGGUAGGGCUACGACACGUGCUACAAUGGUUGAUACAGAGGGCAGCGAAGGGGCGACCUGGAGCAAAUCUUAGAAAGUCAAUCGUAGUCCGGAUUGGAGU
This 530-nucleotide ribosomal RNA is filed under the name uncultured bacterium. RNAcentral describes it as "bacterial SSU rRNA". It matches the Rfam family "Bacterial small subunit ribosomal RNA", at positions 777 to 1304 of the family's 1533-position model. The record is from RNAcentral.